UACGUAGGGUGCGAGCGUUGUCCGGAAUUAUUGGGCGUAAAGAGCUCGUAGGCGGUUUGUCGCGUCUGCUGUGAAACCACGAGGCUCAACCUCGGGCCUGCAGUGGGUACGGGCAGACUAGAGUGCGGUAGGGGAGAUUGGAAUUCCUGGUGUAGCGGUGGAAUGCGCAGAUAUCAGGAGGGACACCAAUGGCGAAGGCAGAUCUCUGGCCGUAACUGACGCUGAGGAGCGAAAGCAUGGGGAGCGAACAGG
RNAcentral lists this ribosomal RNA (252 nucleotides) under uncultured bacterium. Its description in RNAcentral is "partial 16S ribosomal RNA". It matches the Rfam family "Bacterial small subunit ribosomal RNA", at positions 524 to 776 of the family's 1533-position model. The record is from RNAcentral.